UACGUAGGUGGCAAGCGUUGUCCGGAUUUAUUGGGUUUAAAGGGUGCGUAGGCGGUCCUAUAAGUCAGUGCUGAAAUAUCCCGGCUUAACCGGGAGGGUGGCAUUGAUACUGCGGGACUUGAGUGAAGUCGAAGUAGGCGGAAUUGACGGUGUAGCGGUGAAAUGCUUAGAUAUCGUCAAGAACACCGAUAGUGAAGACAGCUUACUAGACUUCAACUGACGCUGAGGCACGAAAGUGUGGGGAUCAAACAGG
RNAcentral lists this ribosomal RNA (253 nucleotides) under uncultured bacterium. RNAcentral's name for it is "partial 16S ribosomal RNA". It matches the Rfam family "Bacterial small subunit ribosomal RNA", at positions 524 to 776 of the family's 1533-position model. The record is from RNAcentral.